AGCGGCGGACGGGUGAGUAAUACUUAGGAAUCUACCUAGUAGUGGGGGAUAGCACGGGGAAACUCGUAUUAAUACCGCAUACGUCCUACGGGAGAAAGGGGGCAACUUGUUGCUCUCGCUAUUAGAUGAGCCUAAGUCGGAUUAGCUAGAUGGUGGGGUAAAGGCCUACCAUGGCGACGAUCUGUAGCUGGUCUGAGAGGAUGAUCAGCCACACCGGGACUGAGACACGGCCCGGACUCCUACGGGAGGCAGCAGUGGGGAAUAUUGGACAAUGGGGGAAACCCUGAUCCAGCCAUGCCGCGUGUGUGAAGAAGGCCUUUUGGUUGUAAAGCACUUUAAGCAGUGAAGAAGACUCUUCGGUUAAUACCCGGAGACGAUGACAUUAGCUGCAGAAUAAGCACCGGCUAACUCUGUGCCAGCAGCCGCGGUAAUACAGAGGGUGCAAGCGUUAAUCGGAAUUACUGGGCG
Molecule: ribosomal RNA, 468 nt
Filed under: uncultured Gammaproteobacteria bacterium
Lineage: Bacteria; Pseudomonadati; Pseudomonadota; Gammaproteobacteria
Description: bacterial SSU rRNA
Rfam family: Bacterial small subunit ribosomal RNA
Source: RNAcentral